Molecule: microRNA precursor, 68 nt
Filed under: Schmidtea mediterranea
Lineage: Eukaryota; Metazoa; Platyhelminthes; Tricladida; Dugesiidae
Description: Sme-Mir-133-P16_pre stem-loop
Source: RNAcentral
AGCUGUUGACGAAGUAUCAAAAUAGUUAAAUGAUGAUAUAAAUUAUUUGGUCCCCGUCAACCAGCUGU